Molecule: long non-coding RNA, 311 nt
Organism: Carassius carassius (crucian carp)
Lineage: Eukaryota; Metazoa; Chordata; Actinopteri; Cypriniformes; Cyprinidae
Exons: 3
Source: RefSeq, a predicted model, not a curated record
CAAACCUGUUUGUUCUUCAGUGUGUUUGAUUCUGCAGGGUUCUGGAUCUCUCAUGUUCUCUCUGUCCUUCAAUAAACUCUAUGUCACUUCUUCCUGAUGAUUUGAUGCUCGUCUUCACUUGUGGGUUGAUGGGUAAAUUCCAGCAUUUAUUGAUGAACUGCAGUGGGAGGAGCUUCACUGAAGGUGAGAUUGUUGUGGGAGGAGCUUCAUUGAAGGUGUGCUUGUUGUGGGAGGAGCUUCACUGAAGGCGAUACUGUUGUGGGAGGUGCUUCGAUAAAGGUUAUACUGUUGUGGGAGGAGCUUCACUGAAG